CAAGUGCCAAAAACCUGUAACAAACUGCUUACGCAUCGAAAUUGUAUUUUUUCUUUAAAAUCAUACAAACUUACUUAAAUAUAUAUGUGUGUUUCCUGUAUGUAAUUGAGAGAAUCCAAGAGCGCUUUGCGGUACGAGAAAGGAACAGAGAGACAGACAGAGAGAGAGAGAGAAAGAGAGCGCCAGCGAGAGAAACAUGUCACUUAAACGUAAUUGGUUUUUUAAUAGCCAUUGUAUCAGCCAGGGAAUAAUGUGCCAAUUGCCUUUUGCCAACUAAUGUCUUGUUAAACAUAAAUUGAAUACUCUUUUGUCAAAGAUAAGAAAAUGUUACGAUAAGAACCCCAACCAAACGCAAA
Molecule: non-coding RNA, 356 nt
Organism: Drosophila virilis
Lineage: Eukaryota; Metazoa; Arthropoda; Insecta; Diptera; Drosophilidae
Source: RefSeq, a predicted model, not a curated record